GGGUCCAUAGCUCAAUUGGUAGAGCAGCGGACUCAUAAUCCGCGGGUCGCAGGUUCGAGUCCUGCUGGACCCA
This 73-nucleotide transfer RNA is filed under the name Planctomycetota bacterium. Its description in RNAcentral is "Planctomycetes bacterium tRNA-Met". It matches the Rfam family "tRNA". Rfam says of the family: Transfer RNA (tRNA) molecules are approximately 80 nucleotides in length. Their secondary structure includes four short double-helical elements and three loops (D, anti-codon, and T loops). Further hydrogen bonds mediate the characteristic L-shaped molecular structure. tRNAs have two regions of fundamental functional importance: the anti-codon, which is responsible for specific mRNA codon recognition, and the 3' end, to which the tRNAs corresponding amino acid is attached (by aminoacyl-tRNA synthetases). tRNAs cope with the degeneracy of the genetic code in two manners: having more than one tRNA (with a specific anti-codon) for a particular amino acid; and 'wobble' base-pairing, i.e. permitting non-standard base-pairing at the 3rd anti-codon position. Lineage: Bacteria; Pseudomonadati; Planctomycetota. The record is from RNAcentral.